UGAAAUCUCACGGCUUAACUGUGAGCGUGCGGGCGAUACGGGCAGACUUGAGUACUGCAGGGGAGACUGGAAUUCCUGGUGUAGCGGUGGAAUGCGCAGAUAUCAGGAGGAACACCGGUGGCGAAGCCGGGUCUCUGGGCAGUAACUGACGCUGAGGAGCGAAAGCGUGGGGAGCGAACAGGAUUAGAUACCCUGGUAGUCCACGCCGUAAACGGUGGGUACUAGGUGUGGGUUUCCUUCCUUGGGAUCCGUGCCGUAGCUAACGCAUUAAGUACCCCGCCUGGGGAGUACGGCCGCAAGGCUAAAACUCAAAGAAAUUGACGGGGGCCCGCACAAGCGGCGGAGCAUGUGGAUUAAUUCGAUGCAACGCGAAGAACCUUACCUGGGUUUGACAUGCACAGGACGCCGGCGGAGAUGUCGGUUCCCUUGUGGCCUGUGUGCAGGUGGUGCAUGGCUGUCGUCAGCUCGUGUCGUGAGAUGUUGGGUUAAGUCCCGCAACGAGCGCAACCCUCGUCUCAUGUUGCCAGCGGGUAAUGCCGGGGACUCGUGAGAGACUGCCGGGGUCAACUCGGAGGAAGGUGGGGAUGACGUCAAGUCAUCAUGCCCCUUAUGUCCAGGGCUUCACACAUGCUACAAUGGCCGGUACAAAGGGCUGCGAUGCCGCGAGGUUAAGCGAAUCCUUUUAAAGCCGGUCUCAGUUCGGAUCGGGGUCUGCAACUCGACCCCGUGAAGUCGGAG
Molecule: ribosomal RNA, 738 nt
Filed under: uncultured bacterium
Lineage: Bacteria
Description: bacterial SSU rRNA
Rfam family: Bacterial small subunit ribosomal RNA
Source: RNAcentral